GUUUUAUCACCAGUUAUCCAGCUUGGGAUUUGAACUGUCAGCUCUGUUAUUGUUACUUUCAUUCAUCAUUAUUAUAUAGCCGAUUAGAUCUAUUUCAAGUGUUGCUUUCGUAGCUUUGUCUAGCUUACUCUAGUAGUUUCCUUUGCAAUCACUACGUGAUUGUCGGCUGUAUCAUAGCCGAAUAUCUUUAUAUAGCAAAUCGGCCGAUUCGCUGAUACGCUUUCGAGAUCGGAACCUUAGCCGAUCGGAACCCCUGGAAUUUGACACGUUUUCUUCCUUGCCAA
Molecule: long non-coding RNA, 284 nt
Filed under: Setaria viridis
Lineage: Eukaryota; Viridiplantae; Streptophyta; Magnoliopsida; Poales; Poaceae
Description: long non-coding RNA (SVIR_LNC004302)
Source: RNAcentral